RNAcentral lists this transfer RNA (23 nucleotides) under Oreoseris maxima. RNAcentral describes it as "Gerbera maxima partial tRNA-Phe". The record is from RNAcentral. Lineage: Eukaryota; Viridiplantae; Streptophyta; Magnoliopsida; Asterales; Asteraceae.
GAAUGAGACAUCAGGAAUAGUCG